Molecule: ribosomal RNA, 1355 nt
Filed under: uncultured bacterium
Lineage: Bacteria
Description: bacterial SSU rRNA
Rfam family: Bacterial small subunit ribosomal RNA
Source: RNAcentral
AUUGAACGCUGGCGGCAGGCUUAACACAUGCAAGUCGAACGAUGAUUAUCUAGCUUGCUAGAUAUGAUUAGUGGCGGGCGGGUGAGUAACAUUUAGGAAUCUGCCUAGUAGUGGGGGAUAGCUCGGGGAAACUCGAAUUAAUACCGCAUACGACCUACGGGUGAAAGGGGGCGCAAGCUCUUGCUAUUAGAUGAGCCUAAAUCAGAUUAGCUAGUUGGUGGGGUAAAGGCCCACCAAGGCGACGAUCUGUAACUGGUCUGAGAGGGUGAUCAGUCACACCGGAACUGAGACACGGUCCGGACUCCUACGGGAGGCAGCAGUGGGGAAUAUUGGACAAUGGGGGCAACCCUGAUCCAGCCAUGCCGCGUGUGUGAAGAGGGCCUUUUGGUUGUAAAGCACUUUAAGCAGGGAGGAGAGGCUAAUGGUUAAUACCCAUUAGAUUAGACGUUACCUGCAGAAUAAGCACCGGCUAACUCUGUGCCAGCAGCCGCGGUAAUACAGAGGGUGCGAGCGUUAAUCGGAAUUACUGGGCGUAAAGCGAGUGUAGGUGGCUCAUUAAGUCACAUGUGAAAUCCCCGGGCUUAACCUGGGAACUGCAUGUGAUACUGGUGGUGCUAGAAUAUGUGAGAGGGAAGUAGAAUUCCAGGUGUAGCGGUGAAAUGCGUAGAGAUCUGGAGGAAUACCGAUGGCGAAGGCAGCUUCCUGGCAUAAUAUUGACACUGAGAUUCGAAAGCGUGGGUAGCAAACAGGAUUAGAUACCCUGGUAGUCCACGCCGUAAACGAUGUCUACUAGCCGUUGGGGUCCUUGAGACUUUAGUGGCGCAGUUAACGCGAUAAGUAGACCGCCUGGGGAGUACGGCCGCAAGGUUAAAACUCAAAUGAAUUGACGGGGGCCCGCACAAGCGGUGGAGCAUGUGGUUUAAUUCGAUGCAACGCGAAGAACCUUACCUGGUCUUGACAUAGUGAGAAUCCUGUAGAGAUGCGGGAGUGCCUUCGGGAAUUCACAUACAGGUGCUGCAUGGCUGUCGUCAGCUCGUGUCGUGAGAUGUUGGGUUAAGUCCCGCAACGAGCGCAACCCAUUUCCUUAUUUGCCAGCGGGUUAAGCCGGGAACUUUAAGGAUACUGCCAGUGACAAACUGGAGGAAGGCGGGGACGACGUCAAGUCAUCAUGGCCCUUACGACCAGGGCUACACACGUGCUACAAUGGUAGGUACAGAGGGUUGCUACACAGCGAUGUGAUGCUAAUCUCAAAAAGCCUAUCGUAGUCCGGAUUGGAGUCUGCAACUCGACUCCAUGAAGUCGGAAUCGCUAGUAAUCGCAGAUCAGAAUGCUGCGGUGAAUACGUUCCCGGGCCU